GAUAGUCGAGUCUGUUUGUGUCUGUUUUAUAUUAGCAUGUUGGUUUGCCUUGUGAUGGAUAAUGGCGAAGUAAACUCCAUAUGGAUGAAUUGCAAAUUUAAUUGGUUAGCAUUGCUUGGCAGUGUUGUGGAUUAAAUUUUCUUUGCAGGACAUUGAGCAGUUUAAUUUUAUCGAGUUAAAUCGUUUGGUUUGUUCAUUUUAUGCCGUUAUGCUGCCAGAAUUUUGUUGAUCCUUAGUACUAAAAGUUUUCUUUUCAGGUACCAUGUCCACCAGACGAGGAUCAGGAGUUUACAAGAGGAGGCGGACCGAUGGUUCCUCUUCUUCUCGAUCGUCAGGCGCUGCACCGACCAGUUCAGGCCAAAUUAGACCACCGCAGCGCCAUCGAUUCCUACUUUUCCAAGGGCAGCCCACCUUUGAG
This 418-nucleotide long non-coding RNA is filed under the name Ricinus communis (castor bean). Its description in RNAcentral is "long non-coding RNA (RCOM_LNC002713)". Lineage: Eukaryota; Viridiplantae; Streptophyta; Magnoliopsida; Malpighiales; Euphorbiaceae. The record is from RNAcentral.